Helianthus annuus (common sunflower) is the source of this 94-nucleotide non-coding RNA. The record is from Rfam. Lineage: Eukaryota; Viridiplantae; Streptophyta; Magnoliopsida; Asterales; Asteraceae.
UAAGCUCAAGUGAUGAUGAAUUGCAUAGUUCAAAUGACAAUUUAUCGUGAUUAUAAAUCUUUUAUUAGUCUUUCGCUCCUAUCUGAUGAGCUUU